ACAACAAGGGAAUCAACAGGCGUAUUCGGGCGUAUUCGGCUUGAGACGUGGCCUGCAAGGUAUUUGCGGCUUUCAUAUGACAUUUACUCACAGAAUAAUUGUGUUCUCUUCUAGUAGGCAAGAAUAUGAGAUCGAAGCCUUGUCUGCUGUUUCAGACAUUCUCAGUGUGCUGGGCUGUUAGGGGUGUUGGCUUUAGGAGGGGAGGUUGAAGUAGAAUGGGCAGAUGUUUUGGCAAAAUUCAUAUUCCAUGACUAUCCAGGGAAUGUGCGAAAGUGUUUUUAUGUAUAACACUAUGGAGCAGUAGCACAGCCACUCGUUCAAAAAACAAGGUUUGAACACCCCAUUGUCUGCUCUGGAGUUAUCCACAUACCACACACGAACAGCAAAGAGGCGGCGACUCUGUGGCCCCAGUGCUACCACUUUCUCUUCCUGUGUCUACGUGGAAUAUUGAUAAAACAUCACAAAACUUUCUCGUUGAGCCUGAACACAGCCUCAGAAUCUUGCCCACACAGCAGGCCAGGAUGCCAUUAGGAUUUACACAUACCUGAGGUCACUGGUGUGGCAUGUUCAUGCAUUCAUUCAUUAAACACUUAUUGACAUCUCCCACUAGUGCUAGAGAUGCAAUGAUGAGACCGAGGAAGAACACAUCCCUGCCCAAUGAGAGAGGAACCUCAGAAGAGGCCGCACAGUGCGAUGCCGUUGGAAUUUCGGCAGUGUGAUGCGUUGCUAUGGAAGCACACUCAAUACAUUUGAGUGGAAAUGGGAACUCUUGGUGUCAUACAUUUUUAUAGCUUUUCUUUGAAUUUUAAGACACAUACUAGAAUCUAUACCUUCUAAUAAAGUAAGCCUGGCAAUAACAGUUUUCUCUUAACUUCUGUACACACAAACCUUUUUAAGCUCUUUCUUGAUCAGGUCCAGGCAGAUAAUAGAAGCAAGCAAACGCCUGAACAGAGUUGUUGGCAAUUAAUAAAUAAGGGUAAUAAUAAUAGGAAUAGCUUACAUGUAUCCUUCCAUUUACUCAUUCAGCUAAUAUUGUGGGGUGCUUACUGUUCAUAUGGGAUCUAACUAGGGAUAAUGCAAGGGACGAAACAGGUGAAAAUGGACAAAACUCCUCAUUCUUCAGGGGCUUGCAUUCUAAUAGAGGAAUAUAAAUAAUAGAUAAAAUUUACUGUUUCUUAGAGGACG
RNAcentral lists this long non-coding RNA (1185 nucleotides) under Homo sapiens (human). Its description in RNAcentral is "HSALNT0337634". Lineage: Eukaryota; Metazoa; Chordata; Mammalia; Primates; Hominidae. The record is from RNAcentral.